RNAcentral lists this transfer RNA (61 nucleotides) under Ixodes scapularis (black-legged tick). It matches the Rfam family "tRNA", at positions 1 to 63 of the family's 71-position model. Rfam says of the family: Transfer RNA (tRNA) molecules are approximately 80 nucleotides in length. Their secondary structure includes four short double-helical elements and three loops (D, anti-codon, and T loops). Lineage: Eukaryota; Metazoa; Arthropoda; Arachnida; Ixodida; Ixodidae. The record is from Rfam by way of RNAcentral.
AGCUGAAAAAGUUUGUAGAGCGCUCCACUGGAAAUGGAGAGAUCCCGGGUUCGAUACCCGG